This 30-nucleotide non-coding RNA is filed under the name Cricetulus griseus (Chinese hamster). Lineage: Eukaryota; Metazoa; Chordata; Mammalia; Rodentia; Cricetidae. The record is from RNAcentral.
CAGUUUCUCUCAACAUUUCUAACGGUCGAA